This 323-nucleotide ribosomal RNA is filed under the name uncultured bacterium. Its description in RNAcentral is "bacterial SSU rRNA". It matches the Rfam family "Bacterial small subunit ribosomal RNA", at positions 30 to 334 of the family's 1533-position model. The record is from RNAcentral.
AUUGAACGCUGGCGGUAUGCUUAACACAUGCAAGUCGAACGGUAACAGGUCGCUGUGAUCUCUUCGGAGUGAACUUGACGCUGACGAGUGGCGGACGGGUGAGUAACACUUAGGAAUCUGCCCAGUAGUGGGGGACAACACGGGGAAACUCGUGCUAAUACCGCAUACGCCCUAAGGGGGAAAGUGGAGGAUCUUCGGACUUCACGCUAUUGGAUGAGCCUAAGUCGGAUUAGCUUGUUGGUGAGGUAAUGGCUCACCAAGGCGACAAUCCGUAGCUGGUCUGAGAGGACGAUCAGCCACACUGGGACUGAGACACGGCCCAG